CACCCAGAGGCCGCUGCUUGUGAAAAGUACUGACAUAGGCCAGGUAAACGCUGCCACGCGGGUCUCCGCUUGGCCCGUAGGGACGCCCCUUUCCCAGCGUCCCUGAAGAAGCCUCCGGUUGAAAAUUAAUUCAGCUUCGGACGUAAUUUUGCCCUUUCCACUGUCAUGUUCCAAUACGGAAUCAAACCUGGUUCUUAGGUCUGGACGCGUGGAGAAGCCCCCAGUGUGGGAUGUACACCCGGCCGCCACAUGCCGCGGCUUUCUUUCAUUUACAAAAGAAAAGAAAAAAAAAUCCGUAACAAAAGGCAGAGCCGUGUCCGCUUAGGUGCUUUCAUCCCUCGGAGAAAGGACAGAUGUGCCCAUUGUCCGGCCCUUGGCAGUUAUGGCCGGGUCAGCGCCGAGCCUCAGCCGCGGGCGAGCUGUGUUCACAAUGGGGACAGAUUCUCAGAGCCAGGGUAUCUGGGCCUAGAUACAAAAUAAAGUUUGUGUGUGGCUUGUACUGGGCCAAACUCAACAAACUCAAAUCAUAGGUUUGUUUGCUGAGACACUGGGCUGAAAUUCACCACCGGUGUUUCCACUGUAAAUGUUCCCAGACCCUUGAAGAGGCCAGGGCUGAGUUGGUAUCAUGGUGGUGGUUGAGCUUCCAAUAAGAAAGUUUCAGCUGGACAACCUUUAGGGAAGUACCCAUCAGCUAGGGUGGGAACUAGUCAGGUCCAUCUCCUUGCCUAGGUUCCACCCACCACAGGCCAACAUCAUGAUUCAGGUAGGUCACAGUCAGUGGGCACAGUCAGUUUGACUUCCUUGAAAAUGCCUUGUUCUGGGGCUGGUUAAUAUGGCUGUCCCAGAAACAAUCUCAUCCUAUCCCAGCAAUUUCUGUGGAGGCCCUGAAAAUGGGGGCUCAUCUCAGUGGACAUCAUUUCUACUUGCUCAGUGAACAUUGAGGAAUAUCCCUCCUCCCCUGGCCAGGAAAAGCCCUUUGGGAAAAAUACACUGGCCAAAAUAAACUCAGAAAAACAAUCACUCUAUUUUAACAUAUCUAUAUCUACCUGUUCAUACACAUAUAUACACAAGCAUAAUACAUUUGUUGUCUAGUACAUCACAGUUUGUUGGUGGGAAGCUUUUUUAAAAAUAUUGUUUCUGCUCUCUUUUCUUAUAGCAUAGAACAUUGGCCUUGCAUAUGAGCCCAAAUAAUGGGUUAAAAUAGCAGGCAGCCUUUGAACUAAACUGUCACCCCCUCCCAUAUUUUAAUCCUACAGAUUGCCCUUUUGACAACUCUCAUCCCAAAAGGCAGUGUGUUAAAAGAAAGAAGUAAAUACCACCAAGUACACAAAUUGUUCAUGGUUUUCUCUUUGUGUAGCUAAUUAGGGGCUUGAUCUUGGAAACCCUCCUUGUGAGGCUCCUAGCUGAUCCCCUGGUGGCCACCUUAAGGGGGCUUGGAUCAGGUGAGCUUGACUUCACCCAUCCACAAAGGGACUUUUGAAAAGGGGGCCUGUUUUGAUGUUGAUCACUUAAGGGGAAGUGAAGGGAAAAAUCUGGGCAAGUAUGUGUUGGCCUUGCUUAGUUCAAUAUUUCACACUUUUCCUAAAAGAUUUUCAAAAAUGGCUCAGGAGGCUGAGGCAGGAGGAUCUCAAGUUCACAGCCAGCCUCAGCAACUGAUGAGGCACCAAGCAACUCAGUGAGACCCUGUCUUUAAAUAAAAUACAAAAAAGGGCUGGGGAUGUGGCUCAGUGGUUGAGUCCUCAGAGUUCAAUCCCUGGUACUCCCCCUACUCCCAAAAUGCCUGUGAAGGACUUGCUUGGGUCUGUGAAUCUCCCUCAUUUUUCUUGGCUAUUCACACCUU
RNAcentral lists this long non-coding RNA (1840 nucleotides) under Marmota monax (woodchuck). The record is from RNAcentral. Lineage: Eukaryota; Metazoa; Chordata; Mammalia; Rodentia; Sciuridae.